This 216-nucleotide ribosomal RNA is filed under the name Glomeromycotina sp. RNAcentral's name for it is "partial small subunit ribosomal RNA". The stretch from base 87 to 216 matches the Rfam family "Eukaryotic small subunit ribosomal RNA", at positions 733 to 864 of the family's 1831-position model. The record is from RNAcentral. Lineage: Eukaryota; Fungi; Glomeromycota.
GGGUCAGUAGGUCGGUCGUGCCACCGGUACGUACUGGUCUCACUGAUUCCUCCUUCCUGAAGAACCGUAAUGCCACUAAUUUGGUGUUGCGGGGAAACAGGACUGUUACUUUGAAAAAAUUAGAGUGUUUAAAGCAAGCUAACGCUUGAAUACAUUAGCAUGGACUAAUGAAAUAGGACGAUCGAUCCUAUUUUGUUGGUUUCUAGGAUUGACGUA